CGGAACGGGUGAGUAGUGCGUGACCAACCUGCCCCAUGCUCCAGAAUAGCUCUUGGAAACGGGUGGUAAUGCUGGAUGCUCCAACUUGACGCAUGUCUUGUUGGGAAAGUGUUUAGUGGCAUGGGAUGGGGUCGCGUCCUAUCAGCUUGUAGGCGGGGUAAUGGCCCACCUAGGCUUCGACGGGUAGCCGGCCUGAGAGGGCGGACGGCCACAUUGGGACUGAGAUACGGCCCAGACUCCUACGGGAGGCAGCAGAC
This 257-nucleotide ribosomal RNA is filed under the name uncultured Gardnerella sp. RNAcentral's name for it is "partial 16S ribosomal RNA". It matches the Rfam family "Bacterial small subunit ribosomal RNA", at positions 98 to 354 of the family's 1533-position model. Lineage: Bacteria; Bacillati; Actinomycetota; Actinomycetes; Bifidobacteriales; Bifidobacteriaceae. The record is from RNAcentral.